UUUUGCAUCUUAAUAGAUGGGAAAGACAUAAGGCAGUUGAGAUAACAGCUGAGCCAUAUUUUAAUUUAAACAUUUAUUAAACACUUCUUAGUUAGUAUAGCUACAAUGAUAAGUCUCCUUUCCCUUGAGCUCCUAGGGGAACUUUUAUUCUUGUGAUGAGCUCAUAAAAAUUGGUGCAUGGAACUGAAGCUAUGACAAAAUCCAUUUUCAGACUCAUUGGUCUGUAGACUCCUGAAUAUCCUGUGAAUAUUGAAGCCUGAUACUCGACUUCUUUAUAUUUUCCUUGUAUGGUAUUCACUGUUUGGAUGACAAGUUGUCUAAGUGAACAAUGUUUUUUAAUAUCACAUGCCCAGAAUAAUUCCUUUAAUACGAUUGACAUUACGGUUCUCACUGCUCCUAGUAACGUCACAUUAUUAUAGGUCAUGUACAUGGCUUCUUCGCCCUUUUUCCCUAGACUUAUCUCGGCAAGUCACUUCUUCCAGAUGACUCAACAGAGGAUGCUAAAUCAAGCAGAAUAUGGGCAGCCACUCUUUUGGAAAGGAUGCUGAGGAACAGGAGUUUGGUCUGAAGAAAUGAUCAGAAAUGACAUGAAGAUACAUGAAAUGAUAUUCAUCACAGCCUUAUACUGUGAAAAAUGAGAAGCAAUUGAAUUCUACAAAAAUGAGAAUAAUGGAUUAUGGAUUAUAAUAUGGAAUCCUGGGUAAUCACUAAAAUAAUGUCUUUGGAGAAUACAUACGGUAUGGAAAAUAUUGUCUGUAGGCUGCUUAAAUUGAUGUACGUUAUUUCUUUUUUUUUUAAUUUUUUUUUCAACGUUUAUUUAUUUUUGGGACAGAGAGAGACAGAGCAUGAACGGGGGAGGAGCAGAGAGAGAGGGAGACACAGAAUCGGAAACAGGCUCCAGGCUCUGAGCCAUCAGCCCAGAGCCUGAUGCGGGGCUCGAACUCACGGACCGUGAGAUCGUGACCUGGCUGAAGUCGGACACUUAACCGACUGCGCCACCCAGGCGCCCCGAUGUACGUUAUUUCAAAUAUACUAUAUUUCAUCUAAGAUACUAUUAUUUGGAAGAGGCAUCAUUUUCUCUGGCACUAAGAAAGAAAACAAUAAAAAUAACACCCAAGAUAUGAAAUCUUAGAAGACCCUGGCAUAAAGGUAGGCCGAGUCAGAAUAAAUGAGAAGUAGACUUGUCUCUGGAAAGGGACAGCAAAGAAACCAGUUGGUCCCCAUUCAGAGCGUGGUUCUAAUUCCUACCACCACCAUGAUCCAAAAAACUUCAAGCAGAGAGAAAAUGUCAUGCUCACAAUUGGUAAGUUCCCCCAAGUAAGCAAACAUCGGUCCUCUGGCCGAAACUGGACUUCAUGCAGAUAGCAAUCUUUUCUUUUGUAACUUUGUCAGUGAUUUUUUUUUUAGACACCUUUGCUUCUAAAAUGAGUUUCUAUAUCAGAAUUGUUAGAAAUGAAAAACUGUGUCUAGCGUGAAAGGCAUAUACUAAAUAUAUGCAAUUGGAGGGAGAUACUCCAAAAUUUAGCAGUGAAGCCCAAUGUGUUGGAUUACAUAUGUAUUUUACAAAACUUCUCCAUGAACAUUUAUUACAUAUUUUUAAAAUGUUUACCUUAAUUAGGAUUUGCAUAAUUGUUUAUAGUCUAUUUUCUUAAUUUGAUCUCCCCUAUUAGUAUAUUUUGAAUCGUUACCAACCUUUGGCAACAAAGCUCAGGCAUUUUAGACUUUCUGUAAUUUCAGCACUUUGGAAAAGAGCUGUGUUUAUUUUGGCUGCAGACCUGUGGGUUAUUACUGUCAGCAGGUGUGUGAAAAGUCUUCCAAAACCCUGGAUCCCUGCAUUGAGGGAUCAAAAAGAAAAGAAAAAAGGAGGGGUGCUCAAGAGCACAGGCUCUGGAGUGAGACCCAUGCUCCAAUUUCAGCUUUGACCCUUCAGUUGUAUGACCCUAAGCAAGUUAUUUAAGUGGUCGUAAGACUCAAGUUUCCUCAUUGUUACAACAAUGAUAAUUGUGUAAUGGAGAGAAUGAAACGAAACAAUGUCAAAGGCCCAUCAUGUAAUAUCCCUGUUGGGAUUCUAAAUCAAGGUCUAUGAGAGCAACUACUUGAAAAUGUGAUUUAUUUUUAAUGUCCCUUUGCUCUUCUUCAACGUAGUCACUCAAACAGUGAUCAUGCGUAAGAGAGACCUUUCAAAAUUUAUCAUCUCUUCAGUGCUUCCCUUUUUAAAUUACAUAUUCUCUAUUCCAGCAAAUAGAAAAAGGUCGGGGGUGGGGGAGGGAGAUACUCAUGAUGAGCACAGCCUUGAUGCAGAAAACAGAAAGGGAAAAUUUCUAGGCCGAUUUCACUGAACAAAGAUGCAAAAAUCCCCAAACCAAAAGGGCCAGCAAACCAAAUUCUGCAAUACACAAGUAAGUAUACACCAUGACCAAGUUGGAUCUAUCCAGGAGGAAUGCGGGGCUGGUCUGACAUUAGAAAAAUCCAUAUAAUUUGUCACAUUAACAGAAUACAUGAAAUAAAUAUGAUCGUCUCAUAUAGAUGCAGUAAACCAUCUAAUAAAAUUCUACAUCCAUAUAUCUUUUUGUAAAAAAGUAACUUUUAACAAACCAGAAGGGAACUUCCUAAAUCUGAUAAAAAUUAUGUACCAAAACCCUAAAAUAAACAUUAAUUGUAAGUUCUCUAGUGUGUCCCUAUUGGGUGCAGUUUGGAAACCUGUUUUGACUUCUUCCUUCAUUUUUUUUUUUAAUGUUUAUUUAUUUUUGAGAGACAGAGACAGAGUGCAGGUGGAGGAGGGGCAGAGAGAGAGAGGGAGACAGAAUCCGAAGCAGGCUCCAGGCUCCGAGCUGUCAUCACAGAGCCCGACGCGGGGCUCGAACUCACAAGCUGUGAGAUCAUGACCUGAGCUGAAGUUGGACGCUUAACCGACUGAGCCACCCAGUUGUUGGCACCUACCCAAGAUGUUCCUUGGGGUAUGUGGCGGAGAAGCUGUCCCAAAGCUCUGUGUAGUGGCCGAGAGGAUCUCACUGAAGAGCUGAGAACAGUAUGUCAGAGAG
Long non-coding RNA from Acinonyx jubatus (cheetah), 3041 nucleotides. RefSeq lists it as uncharacterized. The record is from RefSeq and is a predicted model, not a curated record. The transcript is spliced from 3 exons. NCBI's taxonomy places the organism in Eukaryota, Metazoa, Chordata, Mammalia, Carnivora, Felidae.